RNAcentral lists this ribosomal RNA (468 nucleotides) under uncultured bacterium. RNAcentral's name for it is "partial 16S ribosomal RNA". It matches the Rfam family "Bacterial small subunit ribosomal RNA", at positions 28 to 507 of the family's 1533-position model. The record is from RNAcentral.
GACGAACGCUGGCGGCGUGCUUAACACAUGCAAGUCGAACGGAAAGGCCCUGCUUUUGUGGGGUGCUCGAGUGGCGAACGGGUGAGUAACACGUGAGUAACCUGCCUUUGACUUUGGGAUAACUUCAGGAAACUGGGGCUAAUACCGGAUAGGAGCUCCUGCUGCAUGGUGGGGGUUGGAAAGUUUCGGCGGUUGGGGAUGGACUCGCGGCUUAUCAGCUUGUUGGUGGGGUAGUGGCUUACCAAGGCUUUGACGGGUAGCCGGCCUGAGAGGGUGACCGGCCACAUUGGGACUGAGAUACGGCCCAGACUCCUACGGGAGGCAGCAGUGGGGAAUAUUGCACAAUGGGCGGAAGCCGGAUGCAGCAACGCCGCGUGCGGGAUGACGGCCUUCGGGUUGUAAACCGCUUGCGCCUGUGACGAAGCGUGAGUGACGGUAAUGGGUAAAGAAGCACCGGCUAACUACGUG